This 253-nucleotide ribosomal RNA is filed under the name uncultured bacterium. RNAcentral describes it as "partial 16S ribosomal RNA". It matches the Rfam family "Bacterial small subunit ribosomal RNA", at positions 524 to 776 of the family's 1533-position model. The record is from RNAcentral.
UACGUAUGGUGCAAGCGUCAUCCGGAAUGACUGGGUGUAAAGGGAGCCUAGACGGUUGUUCAAGUCUGAUGUGAAAGCCCUCGGCUUAACUGGGGGAGUGCAUUGGAAACUGAAGGACUAGAGUAUCGGAGAGGCAAGUGGAAUUCCUAGUGUAGCGGUGAAAUGCGUAGAUAUUAGGAGGAACACCAGUGGCGAAGGCGGCUUGCUGGACGAAAACUGACGUUGAGGCUCGAAAGCGUGGGGAGCAAACAGG